RNAcentral lists this ribosomal RNA (483 nucleotides) under uncultured bacterium. RNAcentral's name for it is "partial 16S ribosomal RNA". It matches the Rfam family "Bacterial small subunit ribosomal RNA", at positions 30 to 506 of the family's 1533-position model. The record is from RNAcentral.
AUUGAACGCUGGCGGCAGGCCUAACACAUGCAAGUCGAGCGGAUGAAGGGAGCUUGCUCCUGGAUUCAGCGGCGGACGGGUGAGUAAUGCCUAGGAAUCUGCCUGGUAGUGGGGGAUAACGUCCGGAAACGGGCGCUAAUACCGCAUACGUCCUGAGGGAGAAAGUGGGGGAUCUUCGGACCUCACGCUAUCAGAUGAGCCUAGGUCGGAUUAGCUAGUUGGUGGGGUAAAGGCCUACCAAGGCGACGAUCCGUAACUGGUCUGAGAGGAUGAUCAGUCACACUGGAACUGAGACACGGUCCAGACUCCUACGGGAGGCAGCAGUGGGGAAUAUUGGACAAUGGGCGAAAGCCUGAGCCAGCCAUGCCGCGUGUGUGAAGAAGGUCUUCGGAUUGUAAAGCAAUUUAAGUUGGGAGGAAGGGCAGUAAGUUAAUACCUGGCUGUUUUGACGUUACCAACAGAAUAAGCACCGGCUAACUUCGU